RNAcentral lists this non-coding RNA (20 nucleotides) under Arabidopsis thaliana (thale cress). Lineage: Eukaryota; Viridiplantae; Streptophyta; Magnoliopsida; Brassicales; Brassicaceae. The record is from RNAcentral.
UGUAGCAAAAAAUUGGUGAG